Molecule: ribosomal RNA, 357 nt
Filed under: uncultured Erythrobacteraceae bacterium
Lineage: Bacteria; Pseudomonadati; Pseudomonadota; Alphaproteobacteria; Sphingomonadales; Erythrobacteraceae
Description: bacterial SSU rRNA
Rfam family: Bacterial small subunit ribosomal RNA
Source: RNAcentral
AACGAACGCUGGCGGCAUGCCUAACACAUGCAAGUCGAACGAGACCUUCGGGUCUAGUGGCGCACGGGUGCGUAACGCGUGGGAACCUGCCUUUAGGUUCGGAAUAACAGUGAGAAAUUACUGCUAAUACCGAAUAAUGUCUUCGGACCAAAGAUUUAUCGCCUUUAGAUGGGCCCGCGUUGGAUUAGCUAGUUGGUGGGGUAAAAGGCCUACCAAGGCGACGAUCCAUAGCUGGUCUGAGAGGAUGAUCAGCCACACUGGGACUGAGACACGGCCCAGACUCCUACGGGAGGCAGCAGUGGGGAAUAUUGGACAAUGGGCGAAAGCCUGAUCCAGCAAUGCCGCGUGAGUGAUGAA